UACAGUAUUCUUUUUGCCAGCGCUUAAUUGCGCGGCGAAAAAACCUUACACACAGUGUUUUUUGUUAUUACAAGAACUUUUGCUUUGGUCUGGACUAGAAAUAGUUUGGGCCAGAGGUUUACUGAACUAAACUUCAAUAUUUAUAUUGAAUUGUUAUUUAUUUUAAUUGUCAAUUUGUUGAUUAAAUUCAAAAAAUCUUCAAAACUUUCAACAACGGAUCUCUUGGUUCUCGCAUCGAUGAAGAACGCAGCGAAAUGCGAUAAGUAAUAUGAAUUGCAGAUUUUCGUGAAUCAUCGAAUCUUUGAACGCACAUUGCGCCCUCUGGUAUUCCAGAGGGCAUGCCUGUUUGAGCGUCAUUUCUCUCUCAAACCUUCGGGUUUGGUAUUGAGUGAUACUCUUAGUCGAACUAGGCGUUUGCUUGAAAUGUAUUGGCAUGAGUGGUACUGGAUAGUGCUAUAUGACUUUCAAUGUAUUAGGUUUAUCCAACUCGUUGAAUAGUUUAAUGGUAUAUUUCUCGGUAUUCUAGGCUCGGCCUUACAAUAUAACAAACAAGUUUGACCUCAAAUCAGGUAGGACUACCCGC
Molecule: ribosomal RNA, 583 nt
Filed under: Debaryomyces sp. BEA-2010
Lineage: Eukaryota; Fungi; Ascomycota; Pichiomycetes; Serinales; Debaryomycetaceae
Description: eukaryotic LSU rRNA
Rfam family: 5.8S ribosomal RNA (bases 203-356)
Source: RNAcentral